UCAAAAUGUAGUUUAGUAAAAAUGUUAGCUUUGGGGGUUAGUGAUAUCGGUUAGAUUUUUUUGAG
Molecule: transfer RNA, 65 nt
Filed under: Dosinia altior
Lineage: Eukaryota; Metazoa; Mollusca; Bivalvia; Venerida; Veneridae
Description: tRNA-Pro
Source: RNAcentral